GCCUGGGUGGCUCAGUCGGUUGAGCGUCUGACUUCGGCUCAGGUCACGAUCUCACGGUUCGUGGGUUCGAGCCCCACGUGGGGCC
RNAcentral lists this transfer RNA (85 nucleotides) under Felis catus (domestic cat). It matches the Rfam family "tRNA". From Rfam's summary of the family: Transfer RNA (tRNA) molecules are approximately 80 nucleotides in length. Their secondary structure includes four short double-helical elements and three loops (D, anti-codon, and T loops). Further hydrogen bonds mediate the characteristic L-shaped molecular structure. tRNAs have two regions of fundamental functional importance: the anti-codon, which is responsible for specific mRNA codon recognition, and the 3' end, to which the tRNAs corresponding amino acid is attached (by aminoacyl-tRNA synthetases). tRNAs cope with the degeneracy of the genetic code in two manners: having more than one tRNA (with a specific anti-codon) for a particular amino acid; and 'wobble' base-pairing, i.e. permitting non-standard base-pairing at the 3rd anti-codon position. Lineage: Eukaryota; Metazoa; Chordata; Mammalia; Carnivora; Felidae. The record is from Rfam by way of RNAcentral.